Molecule: ribosomal RNA, 253 nt
Filed under: uncultured bacterium
Lineage: Bacteria
Description: partial 16S ribosomal RNA
Rfam family: Bacterial small subunit ribosomal RNA
Source: RNAcentral
UACGUAGGGGGCGAGCGUUGUCCGGAUUUAUUGGGCGUAAAGAGCGUGUAGGCGGCCAGGUAGGUCUGCUGUGAAAACUCGAGGCUCAACCUCGAGACGUCGGCGGAAACCAUCUGGCUAGAGUCCGGAAGAGGAGAGUGGAAUUCCUGGUGUAGCGGUGAAAUGCAUUGAGAUCGGAAAGAACACCAACGGCGAAAGCACUCUGCUGGGCCGACACUGACACUGAGAGACGAAAGCUAGGGGAGCAAAUGGG